GACGAACGCUGGCGGCAUGCCUAAUACAUGCAAGUCGAGCGAACAGAUGAAGUGCUUGCACUUCUGACGUUAGCGGCGAACGGGUGAGUAACACGUAAGGAAUCUACCUAUAAGCGGGGGAUAACAUUCGGAAACGGGUGCUAAUACCGCAUAAUAUCUUCUUCCGCAUGGAAGAAGAUUGAAAGACGGCUCUGCUGUCACUUAUAGAUGACCUUGCGGUGCAUUAGUUAGUUGGUGGGGUAAUGGCCUACCAAGACGAUGAUGCAUAGCCGACCUGAGAGGGUGAGCGGCCACAUUGGGACUGAGACACGGCCCAAACUCCUACGGGAGGCAGCAGUAGGGAAUCUUCCGCAAUGGGCGAAAGCCUGACGGAGCAAUGCCGCGUGAGUGAAGAAGGCCUUGGGGUCGUAAAACUCUGUUAUAAGAGAAGAACAAAUUGUAGAGUAACUGCUACAGUCUUGACGGUAUCUUAUCAGAAAGCCACGGCUAACUACGUGCCAGCCGCCGCAGUAA
Molecule: ribosomal RNA, 513 nt
Filed under: uncultured bacterium
Lineage: Bacteria
Description: partial 16S ribosomal RNA
Rfam family: Bacterial small subunit ribosomal RNA
Source: RNAcentral